RNAcentral lists this ribosomal RNA (397 nucleotides) under uncultured bacterium. RNAcentral's name for it is "partial 16S ribosomal RNA". It matches the Rfam family "Bacterial small subunit ribosomal RNA", at positions 523 to 918 of the family's 1533-position model. The record is from RNAcentral.
AUACGUAGGGGGCGAGCGUUGUCCGGAAUGAUUGGGCGUAAAGGGCGCGUAGGCGGCCGCUUAAGUCUGGAGUGAAAGUCCUGUUUUCAAGAUGGGAAUUGCUUUGGAUACUGGGGGGCUUGAGUGCAGGAGAGGUUAUCGGAAUUCCCGGUGUAGCGGUGAAAUGCGUAGAGAUCGGGAGGAACACCAGUGGCGAAGGCGGGUAACUGGACUGCAACUGACGCUGAGGCGCGAAAGUGUGGGGAGCAAACAGGAUUAGAUACCCUGGUAGUCCACACUGUAAACGAUGAAUGCUAGGUGUAAGAGGUAUCGACCCCUUUUGUGCCGGAGUCAACACAAUAAGCAUUCCGCCUGGGGAGUACGGCCGCAAGGUUGAAACCCAAAUGAAUUGACGGGG